Molecule: ribosomal RNA, 263 nt
Filed under: Bacillus velezensis
Lineage: Bacteria; Bacillati; Bacillota; Bacilli; Caryophanales; Bacillaceae
Description: partial 16S ribosomal RNA
Rfam family: Bacterial small subunit ribosomal RNA
Source: RNAcentral
UUUAUCGGAGAGUUUGAUCCUGGCUCAGGACGAACGCUGGCGGCGUGCCUAAUACAUGCAAGUCGAGCGGACAGAUGGGAGCUUGCUCCCUGAUGUUAGCGGCGGACGGGUGAGUAACACGUGGGUAACCUGCCUGUAAGACUGGGAUAACUCCGGGAAACCGGGGCUAAUACCGGAUGGUUGUUUGAACCGCAUGGUUCAGACAUAAAAGGUGGCUUCGGCUACCACUUACAGAUGGACCCGCGGCGCAUUAGCUAGUUGGU